RNAcentral lists this ribosomal RNA (323 nucleotides) under uncultured eukaryote. RNAcentral describes it as "partial 18S ribosomal RNA". It matches the Rfam family "Eukaryotic small subunit ribosomal RNA", at positions 1470 to 1796 of the family's 1831-position model. The record is from RNAcentral.
CCCUUAGAUGUCCUGGGCCGCACGCGUGCUACACUGACACUUACACCGAGUUUUUCCAAUGCCGAAAGGCCAUUGGUAAUCAGCAAUAAGUGUCGUGAUGGGGAUAGAUCUUUGGAAUUAUUGAUCUUGAACGAGGAAUGCCUAGUAAUCGUAGGUCAUCAGCCUGCGAUGAUUACGUCCCUGCCCUUUGUACACACCGCCCGUCGCACCUACCGAUUGAAUGGUCCGGUGAACCCUCCGGAUCGGCUCGCGCCAACGCAAGUUGAGCAAAGGCCGAGAAGUUGGGUAAACCUUACCAUUUAGAGGAAGGUGAAGUCGUAACA